GACGAAGGGGGCUAGCGUUGUUCGGAAUUACUGGGCGUAAAGCGUGUGUAGGUGGUUGUCAUAGUCAGGUGUGAAAGCCUUGAGCUCAACUCAAGAAAUGCACUUGAUACUGGGCAACUAGAGGACCGGAGAGGAUAGUGGAAUUCCCAGUGUAGUGGUGAAAUACGUAGAGAUUGGGAAGAACACCAGUGGCGAAGGCGGCUAUCUGGACGGUUUCUGACACUAAGACACGAAAGCGUGGGGAGCAAACAGG
This 253-nucleotide ribosomal RNA is filed under the name uncultured bacterium. RNAcentral's name for it is "partial 16S ribosomal RNA". It matches the Rfam family "Bacterial small subunit ribosomal RNA", at positions 524 to 776 of the family's 1533-position model. The record is from RNAcentral.